UCGUGAAGAGGGAAACAACCCUAACCUCCAGCUAAGGCCCCUAAUUCAUGGCUAAGUGGGAAAGCAGGUGAGACGACCAAAACAACCAGGAGGUUGGCUUAGAAGCAGCCAUCCUUUAAAGAUAGCGUAACAGCUCACUGGUCUAAAUAAGUUGUCUUGCGGCGAAGAUGUAACGGGGCUCAAGCCAUGAGCCGAAGCUGAGGAUGCAUUUAUUGCAUGGUAGCAGAGCGUAGUGUGACAUAGUUCCAUGUGUCCUUAUCGUCCUUCGGGACGUAUUGGACACAAGGAGCUUUCUGUGAAGCUGGCGCGUGAGCGAUCCGGUGGAGAGAUCACUAGUGAGAAUGAUGACAUGAGUAGCGACAAAGAGUGUGAGAGACACUCUCGCCGAAAGUCCAAGGGUUCCUGCUUAAAGCUAAUCUGAGCAGGGUAAGCCGACCCCUAAGGCGAGGCCGAAAGGCGUAGUCGAUGGGAACCAGGUUAAUAUUCCUGGGCCAGAUGGAAGUGACGGAUCUCGAGGGUAGUUCAUCCUUAUCGGAUUGAAUGGGCUGCUUAGAGGUCCCUGGAAAUAGCUCCAUCGCUAGAUCGUACCCUAAACCGACACAGGUGGACAGGUAGAGAAUACCAAGGCGCUUGAGAGAACUAUGUUGAAGGAACUCGGCAAAAUACCUCCGUAAGUUCGCGAGAAGGAGGCCCGGUUUCUAGGCAACUAGGGGCUGGGGGCACAAACCAGGGGGUGGCGACUGUUUAUUAAAAACACAGGGCUCUGCGAAGUCGCAAGACGACGUAUAGGGUCUGACGCCUGCCCGGUGCCUGAAGGUUAAAAGGAGGGGUGAGAGCUCUGAAUUGAAGCCCAGGUAAACGGCGGCCGUAACUAUAACGGUCCUAAGGUAGCGAAAUUCCUUGUCGGGUAAGUUCC
This 916-nucleotide ribosomal RNA is filed under the name Sulfitobacter sp. HI0082. RNAcentral describes it as "bacterial LSU rRNA". It matches the Rfam family "Bacterial large subunit ribosomal RNA", at positions 1008 to 1984 of the family's 2925-position model. Lineage: Bacteria; Pseudomonadati; Pseudomonadota; Alphaproteobacteria; Rhodobacterales; Roseobacteraceae. The record is from RNAcentral.